GCCCGUAUAGAGUAAUAGUAACUCGUUGGACUCCUACUUGUUAGGAGAAAGCCAAGGAUCUCGGUGCAAAUCCGAGUGCGGGCU
Stachybotrys elegans is the source of this 84-nucleotide non-coding RNA. NCBI's taxonomy places the organism in Eukaryota, Fungi, Ascomycota, Sordariomycetes, Hypocreales, Stachybotryaceae. The record is from the annotation of a GenBank genome assembly.